This is a long non-coding RNA of Solanum tuberosum (potato), 1133 nucleotides long. RefSeq lists it as uncharacterized. The transcript is spliced from 2 exons. Lineage: Eukaryota; Viridiplantae; Streptophyta; Magnoliopsida; Solanales; Solanaceae. The record is from RefSeq and is a predicted model, not a curated record.
AACUAUUUUUCUUUUUUAUCACAAGACAAUUUUUGUUUUCAAAUGAUUUAUGAUUCCUCUAAUUUCCAUGUAACUUCCAGGAAGGUGAACUUUUACCAAUUAUAACCAACAAAAUAUAACAUAUAUAAAUAUAAUUAUCAUAUUCUCGUACUAUUAUCCUGAGGUUGGUAACAACAAAUUUAAUCAUUCACAAUACAUAGUAUAUUUUCCACCAUCUCUUUCGCUGCGCAAAGGACUACUUUUACAUUGGCUCUCACAUUUAUCGAGGUGAUUGCAACACGUUUAAUGCAAAAAGGGCCAAGAAAAAAAAUUUCUAUUGACAUAAGGGAAGCUUUUGCAGUAUAGUAAAAGGUGUUGGGUUGCAUCACUUUUCUUUUCUUAUUUUUUUGUAGAAAACUCAAUCAGUUCAAAUUUCAAGUUUGACACAAGGGAAGCUUUUAUUGCAGAGGUAAAAGAAUUUCUAACGCCAUCAGCUAUGAUCUCAUGCAUGGACGCGGUUGAUUAUGAGGACCCUUUUGGUUUUGAAGAUUAUUUUCCUUCAAUGAUUGAUACAUUGGGGGUUGAAAUGUUCAUGGAAGAACUAUACAAUGGUUUUUGCUUGCUAAUGGAUGUAAGUAUAGGGCUCAUCACAUUUGAAAGCUUGAAAAGGAACACAUUAUUGAUGGGAUUGAGUGAAUUGAAAGAUGAUGAACUUCUUUGCAUGUUGAUUGAAGGAGAUUUGGAUGGAGAUGGAGCUCUCAAUCAAAUGGAGUUUUGUUCACUCAUGUUUAGAUUGAGUCCUGGAUUAAUGAUGGAUGGAUUCAAAUCGAACGACUUACAAGUUAUUUCCUAACCUGAUUUUCCUUUCGUUUUGGAUGGUUGAACUCAUGAGGAGAGAAAUGCGAAAAUAGUGAAGUUGUGGAGUUCUUCCUUGCCUAUGUUCAAUACUUUCGUUUUAGAAGUCAGGUUGAAUUUUUAAGAAUUGUAUAACAUGACUAGGGACUUAUUGAUUUAUAAUGCUAAUUCCUAGCUAUGUUUUUUUUUUUCUUAUUUUUUUAUCUACUGGUAAAUAAGGAGCAUGUACUAAUUGCUCCGCCUUGUAUCGAGUGAUUUUUAAUAAGUGUGCAAUGAUAAGUGAAAAUUCUUUUUGAUAA